CUACGGGAGGCAGCAGUGGGGAAUAUUGGACAAUGGGGAAACCCUGAUCCAGCAAUGCCGCGUGUGUGAAGAAGGCCUGCGGGUUGUAAAGCACUUUCGGUUGGGAGGACUGCUUCUAGCACUAAUAUUGUUGGAAGUUGACGUUACCUUCAGAAGAAGCACCGGCUAACUCCGUGCCAGCAGCCGCGGUAAUACGGAGGGUGCAAGCGUUGAUCGGAAUUACUGGGCGUAAAGCGCGCGUAGGCGGCUAGAUCAGUCGGGUGUGAAAGCCCCGGGCUUAACCUGGGAACUGCAUCCGAUACUGUCUAGCUUGAGUUCAGGAGAGGAGAGUGGAAUUCCACAUGUAGCGGUGAAAUGCGUAGAUAUGUGGAGGAACACCAAUGGCGAAGGCAGCUCUCUGGCCUGAUACUGACGCUGAGGUGCGAAAGCGUGGGGAGCAAACAGGAUUAGAUACCCGCGUAGUC
This 464-nucleotide ribosomal RNA is filed under the name uncultured bacterium. Its description in RNAcentral is "partial 16S ribosomal RNA". It matches the Rfam family "Bacterial small subunit ribosomal RNA", at positions 339 to 795 of the family's 1533-position model. The record is from RNAcentral.